Cygnus olor (mute swan) is the source of this 11941-nucleotide RNA transcript. It is a transcript of the gene named PWWP domain containing 2A, with no coding region annotated. The transcript is spliced from 5 exons. The record is from RefSeq and is a predicted model, not a curated record. Lineage: Eukaryota; Metazoa; Chordata; Aves; Anseriformes; Anatidae.
AUGGCGGCCACGGCUGCGGAGGCGGCGGCGACUGCGGCGGUGCCGGGCGACGGCGGGGCCGGCGAUGCCGAGCCCGAGCUGGAGCCCAUCCCGGGCAGCGAGGCCGGCGCGGACCCUCUGCCCGCCGUCACCGAGGCCGUGGAGUCGGCGGCGCCCGACGGGGAGGAGGCCGACGGCGGCGGCAAGGUUGCUCCCGGUGAGGCCGAGGAGCCGCAGCCCGCCCGGAGCCCGGCCGGGAGGCGGGAGGCGGACGCGCAGAGGCCGGAGAAGCCGCCGCCUCCUCCGCCCGCCGCCCCAGAGGCGGUGCUGGUGGCGGCUGCUUCGGCCCGGGCCGAGCUGCGGGGACCGCCCGGCCCGGAGCCCGAGCCCUGCCCGCCGCCUGCUGGGCAGCCCGAACUUCCCGAGGAGGAGCCGCAGCCCUGCCCGCCGGCUACUGGGGGCUCCGCGAAGCCGGAGCCCGGGGAGGAGCCGUCCCGGCCGGAGGAGGAGGAGCCGGAUGCUGCGGCUGCCGCCGCUGCCGGGCCCGAGUCGCCGGUGGCCGGGGCUCCCGGUGGAGGGGAGGCGGAGGCUCCGCUGCUGCCCGGCUCGGAGGUGCGGGUCACCCUGGAUCACAUCAUCGAGGACGCCCUGGUGGUCUCGUUCCGGCUGGGGGAGAAGCUCUUCUCCGGGGUCCUCAUGGACCUCUCGAAAAGGUUUGGACCCCACGGAAUCCCUGUGACCAUAUUUCCUAAAAGGGAAUACAAGGAUAAACCUGAAGCCAUGCAGCUCCAAAGUAAACCAUUCCAAGACGAGGCACAGGUGAAGUGUGAAUCUAAUGCUGCAGUCCCUGAUGACUCUUCUCUCAUGCAGCCAUCAGAACCAAGCUUAGCUAAAAGCCUAUGGACUUCUAAACCACCUCCUCUCUUUCAUGAGGGAGCGCCAUAUCCUCCUCCUUUGUUUAUCAGGGACACGUAUAACCAGUCAAUACCUCAGCCUCCGCCCCGGAAAAUUAAGCGGCCCAAGCGUAAAAUGUACAGGGAGGAACCCACUUCUAUCAUGAAUGCUAUCAAACUACGACCCCGGCAGGUCUUAUGUGACAAGUGCAAAAACAGUGUUGUUGCAGAAAAAAAGGAAAUAAAAAAAGGUGGCAAUGCAAGUGACUCUUCAAAAUAUGAGGAUAAUAAAAAACGAAGAAACGAGAGUGUGACUACUGUGAAUAAAAAACUUAAGACUGACCACAAGGUGGAUGGAAAAAGCCAAAAUGAAAGCCAGAAAAGGAAUGCUGUGGUCAAGGUUUCAAAUAUUGCCCACAGCAGAAGCAGAGUAGUUAAAGUUUCUGCACAAGCAAAUACUUCAAAAGCGCAGUUAAAUACAAAAAAAGUUCUCCAGAGCAAAAACAUGGAUCAUGCAAAAGCUCGGGAAGUCUUGAAAAUGGCCAAAGAAAAGGCACAAAAGAAGCAGAGUGCAACCUCCUCUUCCAAAAAUGCACACUCAAAGGUCCACUUCACACGGCGUCUUCAGAACACCAGCUCAGGUUCCCUCCCACCUCGAUUGCGUUUAAAGCCACAAAGAUAUCGGAAUGAAGAAAAUGACUCUUCUCUCAAGACAGGACUUGAGAAAAUACGGAGUGGCAAGAUGGCAACUAAGCCCCAGUCUCGCUGCUCCUCCACCCGCUCAGCAGCUCAGAGACACUAGUCAACUGCUGUUUUUAUGGAACCUCACUACACUGCCACGAAGAGCACCAGCUCAUCAGGACUGAAAGAAAUCUGAGACUGAAUUGUCCUAUUUUUCCUCUGAAAUCUUCACCAAGUAGUAAACAUUUUUUGAAGGGGAAAGGGGGGUAAAUAUGUUAAAGCACCCCCUCGCACCCAGUUAGGGCACCUGUACCUAAUGUACAUUUUCUUUAAAAUUUAAAAAGAUGUUAGGAAAUAUUUUAUAAAACUUUUUUGCAAUAAAUGACGCAUGAAAUUAUUGAAGACUAUAAGACACUUACAUGCAAGGAACCACUUGAAUUAUUAGUAUGAAGAAUCACUGCAAAUAACUGUUUUUUUUGUAAUGUGACAGUCACGUUUGUAUGUUUUGAUAGGUGCCAGUGAUGGAGCCAAUUGCCUGGGAAGUUGACUGUAACUUUUGAACUUUUAUUUUAAUUUUUAACUUUAGCAUUGCAAUUUUCCAUUCUAUGAGGCUUAGUUAGUAUUUAGUGCAGGUGUUAGCAGAGCUGUGACCUGUGAUCAAAAGCAUGUCCAAAACCAAUUGUAUUGUAAAAUAUGAACAGUCCUGCUAUAUGAGACCAAUGUUUCCCAUAGAGGUGAUGGAAAGGACAGUGACCACAAACUCCAUGUAUCUCUGUAUUAUGGGAAAGCUCCUUCUGUGUGAAUAUGGUUGCAUUUUAUUUAUGCUAUUGUAACACUUAGGGAAUUGAGGAUUUUGAAAAACGUUAAGAAGGGCUACAACAGAGAGUAGCAUUUUGCUUAUGAUACUAUAAGAAGAUGGGAGUCGUGAAUGGAGAGAGAUUAAAUUGAAUGGCAUUUCUAUUUCUAAUCAUGGGUUAAUUUUUCCUUUUGACAAAAAUAUUUUUCAGAUAGGUAACCAGUAGAGCAAAGGUUUUAUUAGUGUUUCUGAUGGUUGUUGAUCUCAGUUACAUUGACUUGUUUGAAUAGCUGUAAAUCAAAAACAAACAAACAAACAAAAACGAACCCAGUGGGUUUUAUCCAUUUUAUUCCCCUCCCCAAAAAGGUGUUUGCUAAGACUUACUUCAGUGGAGCUUGUGAAUGCUGGACACGCUGCUGAAAUACUGAGUUAUUAAAUAUUAAUUUAUUUGUCACUGUUUGACAUUGUGUGCACACUUUAUCAGCAGUAUCAUUUAUUACAAUGUUCUUAACUGGGGAUUUAUUAUAUAACCUGCGAAAAUAUUUGUUUUGAAGAAGUGAAAAUGUGCACAUAAUCUACUCAAAGACAAAUUUUUGUUUCUAGAGAACUGAAAAGACUUGUAAUAAACUCUUUUCUUCCUUAGCAUCCUGAUUCAAUUGGAGAAAAUAGUGUCUUUAUCCAGAUCAUUUAAAAAGAAAGAUACCUUUCCGAGAGGCACCUGUAUCAGCACAAAGACAGUUUCACAGCCUUCAAGUAUGGCGCCUGAAUUAAGUAACACUGAAUUCGAAGUGAGGACAACUCCAUUGUUUGGCUUUGGUGUUGGCAAUGGGUUUAAACUUGUUAAGCAGUCGGGGAAGAGGGAAGUGAGAGGUGAGGACAGUCAUCCAGAUCCAGGAAAGGCGUAUCAAUGAUGCACACACACUGAGCCAGGUCAUGCUUAGUGUUUGCUCAAUUCCUUUUUUUAAGAGCUAAUUUAUUUAUAAAGCCGGAAAUUGAAUACUUACUGCCUACUUGUUAACAAAUAGCUGUAUAAUGCUAUGCAGUAGGUUCAAAUUGUACCAUUUUUCAUAAUAAAAUAUGACUUUUUAAAAUUUCAGAUUAAUAUUUUACAGUGCUCUUCCUUUUCACCGGUCAGAGGAUCAGUGGUUUGGUCCUGUUUGUGGCCUGAGAUUUAACUAGAAUUUAGAAAAAUGAAGAUGUCUGAUUUGGUGAAAGGGGAAGCAGUUUGGUAUAGAGUAUGUGCUAGCCUUUCACCCUCUAGUCACUAAACCCCAAUUGUAUUGAUAAUGUACAAGGGUCUUGGCCUAUUAAAUAACAUUUUAAUACACACACACAAAAAAAAAAAAAACACAAACAAAAAACACAACUGAACAAAAGAGAAGCCACCAAACAACAUGGCACAAAACAGUUUCUGCUCAGGAAAAAGGCCCAGGACUGUAAUAGCAGGGUUAUUGCACAUUGGAUUGAAAACUGAUUGAUGUUGUAAGUAGAAGCCAGUAGUGCCUGCCUGUGUGACAUCUGACUCUUAACCAGUGCUCUUAUUUCCUCAUCAUCAUGAGCACUUGUGCACAGCAGCUGAAAUACAGAGAAAAACAAAAACAUUCAAGAGUGAUGCAGGUCUCUGCAUUGGAUAAUAUGGGUAUAUAAGCAAAUAGCAUAAAAAUAGACAAGGUAGCUAAUUGUACUUGCGUUUGUUUUCACAGAAAGUAUUGCAGCCAUUUUGUUUGAAACCAGAUUUUCAUUUUGAAAUGAAAUUGUCAGGGAUAUUCUAAUGAUAGAGAAUUACAGUAAUGUAUUGCUUUUCACUUUUUUGCUUUAGUUGCUUAAUAUUUAAGCUUUGCUCCGUGCUACCUUCUUGUCUGUAUAUUGAAUGGUCACUAUGCCUCUUUCAUUUUGUAGACUUGAAUGAGGAAAAUAUGAUUCAUCCUUUAAGGUUUGCUGAGAAGUAAAUGAUAAAGAAUGUUGUGUAACAUUUAUUCAAAUAAAGCCUUGAUUUUUUUCAGUGCUCUUUUAAAGGGAAAUAAUGUUGAAUAAUGUUUUGAUGUCUUAGCUUCCUUGUUUUAUUAGUCCUUGACCCAGAAGCCUUUGAUUUCUGUUUUUUCUGCUUUUUUUUUUUCUUCUUUUUCCCUGAAUUAAACAAAGAUUAAACUGAGGUUACUAGUCCACUGCUGGAAGUGAAUCACCUGGACAAAUCUCUAUCCAAGGUUACAUUUCACCACAGUGGCUAAAAGAUGCCAAGUCACGCUCAACCAGCCAGAUGCUUUCCACGAGAAACGGGGGAAAGCUCUUCUUUUUCUUGCCGUCUCAUUAAUGAGACAAGAUUACCCAUACUUCGUAGAGACAGAUACAAAGAAAUCCUGAUGGCCCCAUUUCAUGGCUGUGACUGAGACGCACCCAGCCCGGUUGAAGGAGGAAGGUGGAGGUCCUGCUCAGAGGCUGCUGCCACUUCGGCCGUGCUUCCAGCGCAGUCGGUGGGUGCCGAGCGAGCUGCAGAGCUGGGGGUGAGCUCAGGACUUCCCUGGCCCCGCUGUGCAGAGCUAAUCUCCCCAGAAGCACACGAGGGCCGUGCCAUCACAGCUGCAGCGAGGCACAACGCAGCAGGAGCACAGGACGUGCUUGGCCUCUGAACACCUGCACCCCGCCUGCUCGCCUCUCCUUUGACCAUUUUUUCACUCGCAGCGCUAACAGUUUCAGACAAGUUGUCCAUCGCAGGUAAGUGUAACAGGGUGUUUCUCCGUCUGGGGAGGAAAUGCCUUGUGCUGAGUUGCAUUGUCUCAUCGUGGUGCCCUAAAGGAGGGGAGCAGGUUGUGCUGUACCAGCUGCCUUGUGAAACGGGGUUCUGCGCCUCCGGCACUGUGGUCAGAGAAGGGCAGGUUGGAAGACACUUCUUCAGGUGGCAGAAUCUGUAGGAGGUUAUGAUGUAUGUAUAAGAUAGCACGUAUAUAGAUUUUUUCCCGCUUGUAUUUUUAUUACUGUGAAGAAAAGAUAUCCUAGUUGUAAUUGAGCACCUAGGUAAAAACAAACAAAAAAAAAAGUUGCUCAGGUAAAUUUGAUUUCAAGGAAGUUCUUAUUUCAAGGUAGUAUUAAUUUUCUUUUGAUGCACAGUAUGCCUGGAACUAGAGGGCAAGACAGAGGUAUUAACCCUCCUGUAAGUCAGGCAUUUCAUUGCAGUGACCUGUUGUCAGCAGUGAAGUCUUUCCCAGAAUUGAUUCAGCUUUGGAGUGGAGUGAGCACAUGCACGUAUGCUGUCUGUAGCAACUCUGACCUUGGCCCAGGACCUCUGUGAUGCUUUUGAAAUCAGUUGGUUCCUCCUGUAACUGUGAGCGAGUCUCCACGUCUGUCUGUCGCUUGGAACAGAGCUCCAGCAUACGUUUUUCUUUGCCUGCACAGGGUGAUUUCUUAUUCUGUCCGGACUACAGGAACUCCUAUCCUCUUUCUCUCAUUAUUCAUUCUUUCUUGCAGCAGUUCCUCUUGAAUUGGUUAUCCUCAUUAGGGCUCGGUGGAGAGGGGAAAUCCUGCUGAAAUGUAAUUGCUCACUAAUGGCUUUUCCUUUGUGACAUUGUGUUGGUAGCGUCUCGCUGUGGGAGCCUGCUGGAUUUGCUGCAAGACUGUGAAACCCACAGGAGAGGUUAGCCAUACAGCUUUCAGAGUUCUGCAAUUACCCCAUUGAUUAAUCUUCACUCCAGCGGUUUGGUGAUGAAAGUAUAAAAGUAAGCCAGCCUUCAGCAGCGAAGCCAGUCCCACACAAUCCCGCUCAGUAAUAAUGUUUACUGCUUCCCUGAUGCAUCAAAAGGGUGAUACUUAAUGAGGGCAAAAGUGCAGGUAGCAGCUGCUUAAUGCAGCUUCUGGUGCAGGAGGGUUGGCGAUGACUUGCCAGCUGAAACGUGAGGGAUUGACACACAGAAAUAAGAUUUCUUUUUAGGGUGAGACCAAUGGGAAGACUUCUUUAGGAAAUCAGAUAGAUCACUAACAGAGAGAUGAUGUAGUCAACUCAGACACUGUCACAUACACGUUAUUUUUAAGCAUUAUGUGGUGAGGAGCGCAGUGAGAGGGAAGCCAGUUACCUGCCCGAAGCCUCAUCUGUAGUUAAGGAAAUCACACACGGGGCUUCUCCUGUGUUACCUUUGUGCUCCCCGGUGAUGGGCUGGGCUCAUUUCCCUGAUGGACAGCAUCCUCCAAGGCUAUUAGGAGUGUAAGGGGCUGGUGAGAUUUGCAUGGUCAAGUCAUUUUGCUGCUUUUGCAAUUCCUAGAAAGUUGGGAGUGCAAGGAGCUUGGAAUGCUUCUCUGCUGCACGAGGUCAGGGUGGUAGUGCCUUGCAGGGAGCACUCGCAGCGCAGUAGAGAUGCGAACGGUGCUGUAAGGGAGCUCGUCCUGUGGCUCGGUUGAUGGCGCGGCGAUGCUCCAGCUGCCAAAUGCUAACGAGCAUGCCAGGAGCCUCAGCAGGAUGAUGCAGCAGCGUUGCGCGGCCCUCCGAGCAACUGCAGGGCUGGGAACCAGCCCGCCUGAACGUGGCUUUGGUACCAACUGCCCCUCGCUGUCACCAUUUUUCUCUUGUUCUCUUGUCCUUGCUCAAGUCGUUGGAAGUGGAUGUGUCGUUCUCCCUCUUUGUGCAGGAAAGGCUGCGUGGAGGCACUGCCUGGGAAAGGCAGAGUGUGGCAAGGCUCAGCACCUACUGGAUGGCAUUAGAAAAAAGCUCAGGUUAUUUCCCGGUUCAUACAGUGCUGGCUGUUUUUUGUUUGCAUCCUGCAGUCUGUUUCUAUGGUUCUGCUCAGGUUUUUCCCUUGGGUGUUUGUGUGGUCUUUGUUUCUAUUCGCUUGCUGGGCGCUCAGGGCUGGGCAGGCUGUGACCGGUGUAUCAGCUUUUGGGCUGUUCUGAAUUUUAGGCAAGUAUUCAAAGCCAAGGAGAGGUAGUUCUAACUUUGAAAUCCAGAUUUUUCAGCUAAGAGCUCCAAGUCUUAAAAGCUUAGGGACUGGAACUUCCAAAUGUGGUCAUCUUGGUCAUUAAAUAUUAAACCAAGGCUGUGCCUGCUUGAGGGCUCACUCGAAGUACUCUGAGCCAUCAGAGAAAGGGGUUGGGGCUCCGGAGUGCAAAAGGAGGAAUAUUGGACUGUGCUAAAGAUGAGAUCCCAGAAAUACUUCCUCUGUACAGACAGAGAAGGCUAACCCUCUCGUGAGUCACUGUUUGCUCUGUUUGCCUUUUCAAAGCCGUGAGGACAGGGACUAAUGUACGUACAUCAUCUUUCCAUUCAUACAGUGAAAUUAUAUCAGAGCUUUCGGUUGCGUCUUGGCUUAGUAAACUUGCUGCUGGCUGCAAGUAUCAUUGCCUCUGCUGCGUUUGAUGUGGGGGACACAGGUACCUUGGGUUGGAGAGCUGUCGCCUAAAGGGCAGGGGCAGGCCCUUGGCUGAACGCAGCGAAGUGCCCACGCUCCCGGCCUCCUCUUUCCGCAGGUUCCCAGAUGUUGCAAUUCUCAGCUCCUUUCUCAGAUAGAAAAAUGCCCCAAGAUGGAAUGCUGCAGCCAAAUGAGCUAAUGGAAAUGUGUCAGUCUCACCGAGAUAAAGAAAGAUGCAAUUGUCGGGAGCGGCGCGUGGAUGCAAAUAGCCCAGCAGAGCUCUGCUGCCUCCCCAGGGGCCCGUUUUAUUGCUUGGUACUUGCCAUCACUGCUCCAGGAAUAUGUUCAGGAAGCUAUUCCAGCAGCCAGGCUCAAAUCCACCGACCAGGCUGGAUAAUACCACUUCCCCUCUCGCUAACAUCUCACCUCACCAAGACGUCAGCUGGCAGCAGGGCUGUUGUUCAGCAACACCUCCCGCACCGCUGUGCCUGGGGGACGGGCUGGGUUCACAUUCAGGAAUGAGAAACAGAACAGAAAGCCACCUGCCCCGCAGUGUGUGUCUGGCUUGAGUUAGGGAAGGCAAACCUCUUUUCUUUCUGCCGUGUCCGUGUCGGGAAGGUGGCCUUGGAAAAGGCCUUCUUGAGGGCCAGCCGCUGGGAAGCGGGCAGAUACAGGGAAUCCUGCCUGCCUCUGGGCUGGAGCCGGAGCUGCAAAUGGUGAAGGCCCCAGCUGGGAGGAUUAACCACUGAACAUGCAGGGUCAGAAAAACAUGGUUAAUGGCUUUUGGCUGUUUUAGGGUAUUGCAGCUAUAAAGGACUUUGCUCUGUCUGUCAGGGUAGGCUGUGAUGGUUCUGGCUGAAUGCCACAGCAGCUGAGAGCCUGACAAUUUCCUGUGUGGGCUGUGUCUCUGACAAUCAGGCUACCCAGAGCCUCUGCUGCUAGAGGACACCCCUAGCACAUAUACCUCUCAUGGUCAGAACCCAAAAUCAGCUGGAAAAAACACGCUUUGGGCCAAGCAGCCUCUCCCAGAAGCACCGCACCCCCACAGAUCCGGCUGAGCUUCUGGGCAGGGUACCGAGGUUUUAUGCCCCCUGAGGGUGCUGUGCAAGCUGAGCUGAGCUCGUGGCCCUGCUUUUAUCCUUUUACCGGGAGAAAACGGUGGAGGCGGCUUUGCUGGGCACUUCUGACUUGCAGCUGGCUGGGCUCCCCUGCUUUGAGCAGCACGGUCACAGUGAGCAGCUCUGCCACAAGGGCAAUGACACAGCCAGUGGGCCUGGGAGCCGGAGGAGGAGCGAGGCAUGGACGUGGCACGCUGCCGGAGAGGCUCUGGGGUCGGCCUCUGUGGGCGCCCUGAGCGGCCUCAGUGAGGGAGCCCAGCGGGGUUUGAGCCCUGAGCGUGGGCGGCCCAGGGACAUGCGAGCAGCGGUUUUGUUUCUCGGGUGGCUUGGCAGCGGUGCCUUCCCUUUGGGUUUGCUCACCAGGGUACGUGACAAGAGGUGUCAGGAUGAGAACUUGGGGGUGCCCCACGCCCCGCUGUGGUAAGCCACGGCAAAGGGCUUUAAAAACAAACAGGAUUUUGACGAGGUUUGUGGAGACCUCCUUGGUGGCUGUUUGGCUGGCUGCCCUUUGCUGAGGAGACUGUUAGACAAGGCUUCUUCUGGGGAGUAAGAGCCUUUGCUUUCUCAGGAACCUGUAAUAUACAGCCUAGAGCUUUCUGAACCACUGAUUCUGGAAGCCUUGCAUGUCUGCCACCACUUGUGCCUACGGUGUGCCUUGGUGCAAGUGUCGAAAUGCCAGCUACAGCUACAAGGCUGGGGGGUUACAGAGACCCAGCAAGUGUCUGCUGCUGGUGCUGAACACCGGAGGGAGAACAGCUUCUGGGACAUCCUGUGAAGCUGUAAAACCUCAGUGAUUGAGUAAGUGAAGACAGACUUUGGAAACAGCCAUACGUCACUGCACGUCUUGGAUUCAGGGUACAGAGAGCUCCCUCAGAGGGAAGGUCAGCUCGAGUCGGCCGAGUGUAGUGUGCAAGCUCUGCUGGGGCAGCUCACCCGCUUGUGGCCUGGACUGUCUGGGUUUUAAGUAACUUAGGUUUUAAUUUGUGCUAACCCGAACACCCACCCUGUUAACUUUCUCUGUGUCCAGGUCUGAUGCAGGAGCUGGACUGAGUGGUGGUAGAGAAAAAGAGGGUGAAGACAGCUCUCUUGGGUAUCCCACUCCCAUCACACGAGAAAAAGUAGAGAGGAAUAAGAAGGAACAAAGGCUGGGAGCCGAGGACAGACAACGCCAAGUGGAAAAAAGGAAUGUUUCUUGAAAACACAAGAAUAAUUGAACCAGCCUCCCCCCAAGAAGGCAUAUUUGCAGCCCUCCAGGCCUUCAAAGAUGUGAAGCCAGAUCAGAAUGGAAGGAAGAAUAUUUGUCACCAAACUCCUUUGUAAGACAAAGCAGCAGCUUGCUAAGUCACUGCCUGUAACUUUGCACAAUAGCCAUACACUGGUAAAUAAUAGGUAAACACACACAGGCUGAGUAAAGGUAGCCAUUAAUUGGUAGUAAAGGAUACAAACGUACAGUAUCCACAGUAGCUUCCACAUGGUUCCAUUUAUGUGUGGUCUAAGAGCACAUAUAUUGCAGGUGAGUGAUACCCAGAGUCCAGACCUAAGCUGCCUCAUGCAGUGAUGCAGGACUACUGCUGAUGUUGCUAAACCAGACAAAACCCUAGAUGCGCUCCUUUCCCCACCUUUCAGGCGUUACCUAGUGAAGCUCGGCAGUGGAGCCUUGCUCCAGCUCCAGCCAGACCGUACUGCUUCCAGGGCCAGCCGCUUUUUCAAUGUGGAGCCUGUAACAGCAAGUACUGACAUCUCUACCUGAUGUGUGCUCAACUGGGAGCUCUGGUGAAGCACAAUUCAUGUUCCCCAGUGGCUCCUCAGUCUGGGCUCAGGCUGAGCUUCUGAGUUCCAGCCAGCCCAGCACUGCCUCUGCCCAGGGCUCCUUUGGAGCUUGGACACCUCUGCUCCAUGGUACUCCAGGUUUCAGGAAAAAUUAGCAAGAUUUACACUAGUCCCAACAUUCUGUCCAAGCUAAUAAACCUUCCCUGAGCCUGAAGAGCUCAGUUCUGAGAGCAGCAUGGUUUUACAGCUGCCAGCAAUAAGCCAGCUAAUGAGCCACUCUGGACCUGCAGACACUCCAGGUGUGAGCACACCUCUCCCAGCACAUUCCCUCAUAGCCCAGGUAAGCUCAGCCCCUCUCCCUUGAUACCGGAGCCCAACACACCGAGCAUCUGGCUGGCAAACACCUCUCCAGCUCCUGCUACCUUGUGGCUGCUCCCAGGAGCAAAAUCUUUCUUUAAAACCUCCCCUUUACACACCUACCAGUCUGCCCAAUUUUAGCAAAGACAACUGAGCCUUGCAUGAUUGGAAUAGUACUCCAGUAAAAUAAGACGUAGUUACAGUUUAAGCACAUGGAAAUCCUAGAGGCUCUUUUUGUUUAGUUAAGUGACAUUUUAAUUAUGCAGAAGAUGUUAAAGGCAGCAUAGGCCUCACUGUGAAUUAGGUCUUUUCUUCUUUUGACAAUGAUGACAUUUUAUUUCCCACAGAUGUAAUACAUACUCCUUGCAGACAUGAAAUGGUUUAUAAACAGUUAACAAAGUCAAAACUAAAAAUGCAUCAGGAUAUAGUUAAACAACAAUAAAAAAAACACCACCACCACACACCUUUAAGCAUGCACUGUCAAAAUGGAAGAAAAGCACCAAGAAACCUUAGCUUGAGAGACUAUUCCUUUCAGGCCUAUCAGUGUAAAGACUGGAGCUCAAGACACGCAACUACUACAAUUUCAGUCCUUAAGGACCCAAAAAAACACUUCUUGAAAUGUAAGAUGAUGACUAAUAGCUAUCAGACAGCUACCACUAAUUAUUUAAAUCAUGUACUGAAAGCUGCAUGGAGACAACUGAAAAAUGCCUGCAAUGCAAACAUUUCAGCAUUGAUAUAAAAAACAGUAAGUAGUAAAUAAAAGACACCCCUUCAAAACCUGAAAACCCUUGAAAAACCACCCACAUGUAUAUGUAUUUCUUCUUAUGCAUCUAUCUAUCUGCAGAUGCUUCAAAGUUCUCAAAGUCUACAAGAAUCUUUUGCAAUCAACUGCAAUAUCACUUGUUGGCCACUAUGAAUAGCUGUAAUGAAUCUCAGACAAGCAAAUUUCAUUAACUUUAGGGUACUGUUACAAGGUGUAUAUAUAUUGGCACGUAAUGUCCAUGUCAUCUUCAAAAU